AGGUCUGAUAUUCUAUCUUUCUGUGAUAUAAAACUUGAACCUUGGUCUAUCAGACCUAG
Molecule: microRNA precursor, 59 nt
Filed under: Monodelphis domestica (gray short-tailed opossum)
Lineage: Eukaryota; Metazoa; Chordata; Mammalia; Didelphimorphia; Didelphidae
Description: microRNA mdo-mir-7385h precursor
Source: miRBase by way of RNAcentral